UGAAAAGCCUCUAAGCUUCAGGUCACAUUGGACCGUACCGUAAACCGACACUGGUGGGUGAGCAGAUAAUCUGCCAAGGCGCUUGAGAGAACUCGGGUUAAGGAACUCUGCAAUUUGAUACCGUAACUUCGGAAGAAGGUAUGCCUUCGAUGGUGAAAGGACUUGCUCCUCUAGCUAUUGAAGGUCGCAGGUAAUCGGUGGCUGCAACUGUUUAUCAAAAACACAGGACUCUGCGAACACGUAAGUGGAUGUAUAGGGUCUGACGCCUGCCCGGUGCCGGAAGGUUAAUUGAUGGGGUUAGCCGCAAGGCGAAGCUCUUGAUCGAAGCCCCGGUAAACGGCGGCCGUAACAAUAACGGUCCUAAGGUAGCGAAAUUCCUUGUCGGGUAAGUUCCGACCUGCACGAAUGGCGUAAUGAUAGCCACACUGUCUCGACCCGAGACUCAGUGAAGUUGAAAUCGCUGUGAAGAUGCGGCGUUCCCGCGGCAAGACGGAAAGACCCCGUGAACCUUCACUACAGCUUUACACUGAACUUUGAACCUUUUUGUGUAGGAUAGGUGGGAGGCUAUGAAACUUGGGCGCUAGCUCGAGUGGAGCCAACCUUGAAAUACCACCCUGAAAUGUUCGGAGUUCUAACCUUGUCCCGUAAUCCGGGAUGGGGACAGUGUAUGGUGGGUAGUUUGACUGGGGCGGUCUCCUCCCAAAGAGUAACGGAGGAGUGCAAAGGUACGCUCAGCGCGGUCGGUCAUCGCGCUCUAGAGUGCAAAGGCAUAAGCGUGCUUAACUGCGAGACGGACAUGUCGAGCAGGUACGAAAGUAGGUCUUAGUGAUCCGGUGGUUCUGUAUGGAAGGGCCAUCGCUCAACGGAUAAAAGGUACUCCGGGGAUAACAGGCUUAUUCCUCCCAAGAGUCCACAUCGACGGAGGAGUUUGGCACCUCGAUGUCGGCUCAUCACAUCCUGGGGCUGUAGCAGGUCCCAAGGGUAUGGCUGUUCGCCAUUUAAAGUGGUACGCGAGCUGGGUUCAGAACGUCGUGAGACAGUUCGGUCCCUAUCUGCCGUGGGCGUUGAAAACUUGAGGGUGAGCUGUCCUUAGUACGAGAGGACCGGGAUGGACGUAUCUCUGGUGUUCCGGUUGUCACGCCAGUGGCACUGCCGGGUAGCUAUAUACGGACGGGAUAACCGCUGAAAGCAUCUAAGCGGGAAGCCCCCCCCAAGAUUAGGUUUCCCUGGGAACUCGAUUCCCCUAAAGGGCCGUCGAAGACUACGACGUUGAUAGGCUGGGUGUGUACGUGCAGCAAUGCAUUGAGCUAACCAGUACUAAUUGCCCGUGAGGCUUGACCAU
This 1342-nucleotide ribosomal RNA is filed under the name metagenome. Its description in RNAcentral is "bacterial LSU rRNA". It matches the Rfam family "Bacterial large subunit ribosomal RNA", at positions 1611 to 2925 of the family's 2925-position model. The record is from RNAcentral.